Molecule: ribosomal RNA, 459 nt
Filed under: uncultured bacterium
Lineage: Bacteria
Description: partial 16S ribosomal RNA
Rfam family: Bacterial small subunit ribosomal RNA
Source: RNAcentral
CCUACGUGUGGCUGCAGUGAGGAAUAUUGGUCAAUGGUCGGGAGACUGAACCAGCCAAGCCGCGUGAGGGAGGAAGGUACAGAGUAUCGUCAACCUCUUUUGUCAGGGAACAAAGACUGGGACGCGUCCACGGAUGAGUGUACCUGAAGAAAAAGCAUCGGCUAACUCCGUGCCAGCAGCCGCGGUAAUACGGAGGAUGCGAGCGUUAUCCGGAUUUAAUGGGGUUAAGGGGUGCGCGGGCGGUCUGUUAAGUCGGCGGUCAAAGCCCGGGGCUCACCCCCGGCCCGCCGUUGAAACUGGCAGUCUCGAGUUGGAGAGAAGUAUGCGGAAUGCGCGGUGUAGCGGUGAAAUGCAUAGAUAUCGCGCAGAACUCCGAUUGCGAAGGCAGCAUGCCGGCUCCACACUGACGCUGAGGCACGAAAGCGUGGGUAUCGAACAGGAUUAGAUACCCUGGUAGUC